This 415-nucleotide ribosomal RNA is filed under the name uncultured prokaryote. RNAcentral describes it as "bacterial SSU rRNA". It matches the Rfam family "Bacterial small subunit ribosomal RNA", at positions 505 to 918 of the family's 1533-position model. The record is from RNAcentral.
GUGUCAGCCGCCGCGGUAAUACGUAGGGGCCAAGCGUUGUCCGGAGUUACUGGGCGUAAAGGGUGCGCAGGCGGUGGGUUACGUCGUGUGUGAAAGCCCCCGGCUUAACCGGGGAGGGUCGCGCGAAACGGGCUCACUGGAGGCAAGGCGAGGUCGGUGGAAUUCCCGGUGUAGUGGUGAAAUGCGUAGAGAUCGGGAGGAACACCAGAGGCGAAGGCGGCCGACUGGACUUGACCUGACGCUGAGGCACGAAGGCGUGGGGAGCGAACGGGAUUAGAUACCCCGGUAGUCCACGCAGUAAACGAUGGAUACUAGGUGUGGCGGGAGUUGACCCCGGCCGUGCCGGAGCUAACGCAGUAAGUAUCCCGCCUGGGGAGUACGGCCGCAAGGCUAAAACUCAAAUGAAUUGGCGGGG